GAUGAAGAACGUAGCGAAAUGCGAUACUUGGUGUGAAUUGCAGAAUCCCGUGAACCAUCGAGUCUUUGAACGCAAGUUGCGCCCGAAGCCAUUAGGCCGAGGGCACGCCUGCCUGGGUGUCACACACCGUUACCCUCGCGCCAACGUCCAUCGUUGGCCGCGGCGCGGGGCGUGCGCUGACCUCCCGCGAGCGGGGUCUCGUGGUUGGUUGAAAAUCGAGUUCGCGGUCGAGGGUGCCGUGAUGAAAUGGUGGAUGGGCGACGCCCGAGGCCAAUCACGCGCGACUCUGUCCGGCUCGGACUCCUGGACCCCUUCGGCGUCUCCGGACGCUCUUGGCGAGACCUCAGGUCAGGCGGGGCUACCCGCUGAGUUUAAGCAUAUCAAUCGGAGGA
RNAcentral lists this unclassified non-coding RNA (392 nucleotides) under soil metagenome. RNAcentral's name for it is "partial contains 5.8S ribosomal RNA, internal transcribed spacer 2, and large subunit ribosomal RNA". The stretch from base 1 to 122 matches the Rfam family "5.8S ribosomal RNA", at positions 35 to 154 of the family's 154-position model. The record is from RNAcentral.